This 207-nucleotide ribosomal RNA is filed under the name uncultured Syntrophaceae bacterium. RNAcentral describes it as "partial 16S ribosomal RNA". It matches the Rfam family "Bacterial small subunit ribosomal RNA", at positions 568 to 774 of the family's 1533-position model. Lineage: Bacteria; Pseudomonadati; Thermodesulfobacteriota; Syntrophia; Syntrophales; Syntrophaceae. The record is from RNAcentral.
CGUGUAGGCGGCUUAACAAGUCAGAUGUGAAAUCCCUGGGCUUAACCCAGGAAGUGCAUUUGAAACUGUUUGGCUGGAGUAAGGGAGAGGAAAGUGGAAUUCCUGGUGUAGAGGUGAAAUUCGUAGAUAUCAGGAGGAACACCGGUGGCGAAGGCGACUUUCUGGCCCUAUACUGACGCUGAGACGCGAAAGCGUGGGUAGCAAACA